UACGGAGGGUGCGAGCGUUGUCCGGAAUCACUGGGCGUAAAGGGCGCGUAGGCGGCCUGAUAAGUAGGGGGUGAAAUCCUGCGGCUUAACCGCAGGGCUGCCUUCUAAACUGUCAGGCUCGAGCACAGUAGAGGCAGGUGGAAUUCCCGGUGUAGCGGUGGAAUGCGUAGAGAUCGGGAAGAACGCCAAGGGCGAAGGCACUCUGCUAGGCCUGAUUUCGCGACUGACACUCAGGGACGAGAGCCAGGGGAGCGAAUGGG
Molecule: ribosomal RNA, 260 nt
Filed under: uncultured bacterium
Lineage: Bacteria
Description: partial 16S ribosomal RNA
Rfam family: Bacterial small subunit ribosomal RNA
Source: RNAcentral